CAAUGCAAUAGAGGUUGCGACAAUCACAAGAUAUUUCGGAGUCCGCGAAGACGCAGAAGAUUAUCUCAGGGUUGCCGCCGAAAUGGCUCUAGUAUUCGUGUACUAAGCCGUUGGGCUAUAGAACAAUAUUCUAUAGACUGUCCUGGUUAGUCCCCAGGGAGCGCUAUAAGAUUU
Molecule: non-coding RNA, 174 nt
Filed under: Lactobacillus kefiranofaciens
Lineage: Bacteria; Bacillati; Bacillota; Bacilli; Lactobacillales; Lactobacillaceae
Description: Lysine sequence
Rfam family: Lysine riboswitch aptamer
About the family: Riboswitches are metabolite binding domains within certain messenger RNAs that serve as precision sensors for their corresponding targets. Allosteric rearrangement of mRNA structure is mediated by ligand binding, and this results in modulation of gene expression. This family includes riboswitches that sense lysine in a number of genes involved in lysine metabolism, including lysC.
Source: RNAcentral